ACUCAAAUGAAUUGACGGGGGCUAUCACAAGCGGUGGAGCAUGUGGUUUAAUUCGAUAAAACGCGCAAAACCUUACCGAUCCUUGACAGUUAAACUUUGCUUUUCUAUAAUUAGAUAAGUCUAAAACUUAAGUUUAUUAAUUACAGGUGCUGCAUGGCUGUCGUCAGUUCGUGUUGUGAAAUGUUUGGUUAAGUCCUUAGAACGAACGCAACCCCCAUUUUUGUUGCUUUUUCAGAUUUAUUUCUGUUAGGCUCUCUUAAAUAAUUCCGGCCAAAGUCGGAUGAAAGGGGAUGAUGUCAAGUCCUCAUGGCCCUUAUGGAUCGGGCUACACAUGUGCUACAAUGGUGAUCACAAUAGGAAGCAAUGAUUCAAAUCGGAGCAAAUCCUUAAAAAUCAUCUUAGUUCGGAUUGUUCUCUGCAACUCGAGAAUAUCAAGUCGGAAUCGCUAGUAAUCGUAAGUCAGCACAUUACGGUGAAUAUGUACACUAGCCUUGUACACACCGCCCGU
RNAcentral lists this ribosomal RNA (508 nucleotides) under uncultured bacterium. RNAcentral describes it as "partial 16S ribosomal RNA". It matches the Rfam family "Bacterial small subunit ribosomal RNA", at positions 899 to 1397 of the family's 1533-position model. The record is from RNAcentral.